GUCCUCCACCAAGCGCAGGCGGUACCGGAAGCGCAGCAGCUCGGCCAGCUCCCGCAGCAUGUCCACGCAGAAGCCCUCGAAGCGCUCGUUCCCGGACAGAGCCUGGAAGUUGGGCCGGCGCAUGACGAGGAAGCUGAGAACAGAGAGAAGAGACCCACCCUGGUCACCAAGUGUACAAACAGCUGGGCCAGGUCUAGAACAGAAGUGAAGGCUGGGAAAGAAGCAGAAAUCGACGUGUUGUGGUUCAAGCCUCCCUCAGGGCCCAGCUUUUGCAAACAUCCAGAUCUGGCCCGGUCCCUUCCGGUUUAACAGUCUCCAAGAUACAUGCCAGCCACUUCAGUUACGUCAGACUCUUUGCGACCCCAUGGACUGUAGCCCACCAGGCUCCUCUGUCCAUGGGAUUCUCCAGGCAAGAAUCCUGGAGUGAGUUGCUUUGCCCUCCUCAAGGGGAUCUUCCCAACCCAGGGAUCAAACCUGCAUCUCAUCCAUUACAGGCAGAUUCUUGACCACUGAGCCAGCAGGGCAACCCCCCCAAGGUACAGAGUGAGCAUGACUAAGCUCUUCAGAGGCUAGUCCCCACCUGUCACAGUGCUCACCACUCCUCCGUGUUCGCUGGGUGCCAGGCACCAUCCCAAGCCCUGGGGACCAGAGCGGGAAAUAAGACAGGUCCUGACAACUUUGUGCCCCUCCCGCCGGCGCCCAGGCUGACUCACGUCUGUGUCGCCAAGUGCCUGGCACAGGCCCUGCCCAGAAACAUGAGUCUGAGAAAGUUUGUGAACGAAGGGGCACACUAAGGCUGCUGCCUCCACAUCCAACCUGGCCAACACUUCCUGAGGCCCCUCCUCCUGGGAGUUCCCGCUGCCUGGGAGGCCAGGCCCCCUCCUCUGUGCACCCAACUCCUACACAGCUUCUAAAGCCCCAUCUAAUGCCACCUUCUCUGUGAAGCCUUCCUUCCUCAGGCUUUUGAAAGUUCAGGCAGCCCCUCCUUUCUGUGGGGCCCCCUUAUCACCCUGGCUGGGAAUGAUUGUGUCCAGGUCCACCUCCUUCAUCAGACUGGGAUCCCCUCCCCGGGGCCACUCGAGGACAGAGAGACCACAAGACCACCUGUGACUCAUCCCAGUG
Molecule: long non-coding RNA, 1122 nt
Organism: Cervus elaphus (red deer)
Lineage: Eukaryota; Metazoa; Chordata; Mammalia; Artiodactyla; Cervidae
Exons: 3
Source: RefSeq, a predicted model, not a curated record